This 28-nucleotide non-coding RNA is filed under the name Rattus norvegicus (Norway rat). The record is from RNAcentral. Lineage: Eukaryota; Metazoa; Chordata; Mammalia; Rodentia; Muridae.
CUGUAACGCUCAGAAAGGCCAGCCACCC